Molecule: long non-coding RNA, 643 nt
Organism: Xenia sp. Carnegie-2017
Lineage: Eukaryota; Metazoa; Cnidaria; Anthozoa; Malacalcyonacea; Xeniidae
Exons: 2
Source: RefSeq, a predicted model, not a curated record
CAUGAUGUGGGCGAUUUCAAAGAACGUAUAUUAACAUCCGCUAACAAUUCCAAACAUAAUGAUUCCAACGUAUUUUGAUUGUACAUUGUUGAGUCAGAUGUAUAAGAAUGAAGCUACAAAUUUUGAUAUGGUGAAUAUGAAUUUUAUUUUCACCAAUGGAGGACACGAGAACACGCAAAAUCUUAAAGACGAUACUACACAGGUUUUGGAUUUUCGUCCAGUACAAUGUUCCGUAUAAAACGUUUGUUACUAACAGAAUUCCGGACAUGAAGUGUUGCUUUCGACUGUCGUUGUGGAUAUAGUCAGACGUGACAAAUGAAACAUUAAAGAAAAAGCUACGCAGCUGGUUUGAGUAGUGGAUGAGGCUGUGUAUGAAAGAAAAUGUGGACGUGGAGUGAAGUUAAAAGGGCUUUAUAACCGUUAAUAAUGGUCAGGAGGAAUUAGGAAGACUUUGAGAAAAGAAAGCAAAUGCGGAAUGAAAGAUCUUAUAAGAAAUGCAAACAAACUGGAGAACGUUGAGAACUAUAACUCUUGGAAAACACUUUGUAUCUGUUAGGUUUUGUGAUGUAGCCAUCUACCUUCUUUAGUAUAUAUUGACUUACAUCAACAAAUAGAGAUAUUACAGACAACUGUUAUGAUCACA